This is a long non-coding RNA of Papaver somniferum (opium poppy), 151 nucleotides long. RefSeq lists it as uncharacterized. NCBI's taxonomy places the organism in Eukaryota, Viridiplantae, Streptophyta, Magnoliopsida, Ranunculales, Papaveraceae. The record is from RefSeq and is a predicted model, not a curated record. The transcript is spliced from 3 exons.
CGUUAAACACCACAAAAUGAAAAAUAAAUCAGAAGAACCCACAGUUUUUGAAGUCUAUAAACAUCUACACACUACCAGGGAUCACAUAUGGUUUACAGAAGAAGACUGGAUAAAAUUUUGAUAAGAUGAUUCAGCUUCGAAAAAAAAAACA